Molecule: ribosomal RNA, 497 nt
Filed under: uncultured bacterium
Lineage: Bacteria
Description: partial 16S ribosomal RNA
Rfam family: Bacterial small subunit ribosomal RNA
Source: RNAcentral
GAUGAACGCUGGCGGAGUGCCUAAUACAUGCAAGUCGAGCGAACGGACGAGAAGCUUGCUUCUCUGAUGUUAGCGGCGGACGGGUGAGUAACACGUGGAUAACCUACCUAUAAGACUGGGAUAACUUCGGGAAACCGUAGCUAAUACCGGAUAAUAUUUUGAACCGCAUGGUUCAAAAGUGAAAGACGGUCUUGCUGUCACUUAUAGAUGGAUCCGCGCUGCAUUAGCUAGUUGGUAAGGUAACGGCUUACCAAGGCAACGAUGCAUAGCCGACCUGAGAGGGUGCUCGGCCACACUGGAACUGAGACACGGUCCAGACUCCUACGGGAGGCAGCAGUAGGGAAUCUUCCGCAAUGGGCGAAAGCCUGACGGAGCAACGCCGCGUGAGUGAUGAAGGUCUUCGGAUCGUAAAACUCUGUUAUUAGGGAAGAACAUAUGUGUAAGUAACUGUGCACAUCUUGACGGUACCUAAUCAGAAAGCCACGGCUAACUACGUG